UCCUACGGGAGGCAGCAGUCGAGAAUUUUUCACAAUGGGCGCAAGCCUGAUGGAGCGACGCCGCGUGGGGGAUGAAUGGCUUCGGCCCGUAAACCCCUGUCAUUUGCGAACAAAUUGGUUCAAUUAACACCUGAACCAUUGAUAGUAGCGAAAGAGGAAGGGACGGCUAACUCUGUGCCAGCAGCCGCGGUA
RNAcentral lists this ribosomal RNA (192 nucleotides) under uncultured bacterium. RNAcentral's name for it is "partial 16S ribosomal RNA". It matches the Rfam family "Bacterial small subunit ribosomal RNA", at positions 337 to 522 of the family's 1533-position model. The record is from RNAcentral.